CACUGCAGUGUAAGGAUAGACUGAUUAUCGGCCCUGGCUGAUUAUCGGUUUGUUUUUUGGCAGUUUGCAGAUUAUCUGUAUCAACGUUUUAUUUGCCUGAUAACCGAUAAAGUUAAUUACAUAAAAAGUG
Sander lucioperca (pikeperch) is the source of this 130-nucleotide long non-coding RNA. RefSeq lists it as uncharacterized. NCBI's taxonomy places the organism in Eukaryota, Metazoa, Chordata, Actinopteri, Perciformes, Percidae. The record is from RefSeq and is a predicted model, not a curated record. The transcript has 3 exons.